UACAGAGGGUGCAAGCGUUGUUCGGAAUUAUUGGGCGUAAAGGGCGCGUAGGCGGUGCGGUAAGUCUGUAGUGAAAUCUCUGGGCUCAACUCAGAGUCUGCUGCAGAAACUGCCGUGCUUGAGUGUGGGAGAGGUGAGUGGAAUUCCUGGUGUAGCGGUGAAAUGCGUAGAUAUCAGGAGGAACACCUGUGGCGAAAGCGGCUCACUGGACCACAACUGACGCUGAUGCGCGAAAGCUAGGGGAGCAAACAGG
RNAcentral lists this ribosomal RNA (253 nucleotides) under uncultured bacterium. Its description in RNAcentral is "partial 16S ribosomal RNA". It matches the Rfam family "Bacterial small subunit ribosomal RNA", at positions 524 to 776 of the family's 1533-position model. The record is from RNAcentral.